Molecule: non-coding RNA, 72 nt
Organism: Bos taurus (domestic cattle)
Lineage: Eukaryota; Metazoa; Chordata; Mammalia; Artiodactyla; Bovidae
Source: Rfam
UCCCUGAUGGCUCAGUUGGUAAAGAAUCCGCCUGAAAUGCGGGAGACCUAGGUUCAAUUCCUGGGUCGGGAA